GGACAUUUAGCUCAGUUGGUUAGAGCGUCGCAUUCACAUUGCGAAGGUCACUGGUUCGAGUCCAGUAAUGUCCA
This 74-nucleotide transfer RNA is filed under the name Patescibacteria group bacterium. RNAcentral describes it as "tRNA-Val". It matches the Rfam family "tRNA". Rfam says of the family: Transfer RNA (tRNA) molecules are approximately 80 nucleotides in length. The record is from RNAcentral.